CCGGCCUUGACAUCCCUCUGACAGUAUAUGUAAUGUAUAUUUCCUUCGGGACAGAGGAGACAGGUGGUGCAUGGUUGUCGUCAGCUCGUGUCGUGAGAUGUUGGGUCAAGUCCCGCAACGAGCGCAACCCCUGCCCCCAGUAGCCAGCAUAUAGGGUGGGCACUCUGGGGGGACUGCCGGGGAUAACCCGGAGGAAGGCGGGGAUGACGUCAAAUCAUCAUGCCCCUUAUGGCCGGGGCUACACACGUGCUACAAUGGCGUAAACAGAGGGAGGCGAGAGUGCGAGCUUAAGCGAACCCCAAAAAUAACGCCCCAGUUCGGAUUGCAGCCUGCAACUCGGCUGCAUGAAGCUGGAAUCGCUAGUAAUCGCGGAUCAGAAUGCCGCGGUGAAUACGUUCCC
RNAcentral lists this ribosomal RNA (400 nucleotides) under uncultured bacterium. Its description in RNAcentral is "bacterial SSU rRNA". It matches the Rfam family "Bacterial small subunit ribosomal RNA", at positions 975 to 1375 of the family's 1533-position model. The record is from RNAcentral.